CGUGCGAACCUUUCCUUCCCAACCUACAAUCUCCUCGCCGCCGCCACCAACCAUGCCGGCCGGUUCCGACGAGCUCAGGCCACGCGCAGCUCGACCCUGAGCUCCCCAAGAUCCGCCCCUCCCUCCCCUCCGUUCAGAUCCGCGCCUCAAGGCCCGCAACCUCGCUCGCGGCUAGGGUUCCUUCGUUGGAACCCGCCACAACCGGCGAUGGCAAGGCCGAAGCUCGCGAGAUCCGUCACCAGCAUUGCCCAGGUCACCAUGACGUGGAGACGGCGACGAUGGCAGGAGGGCGCCGGCCUUUCCCUGCUCGAGGAGGAGGAGGGGCGCACCUAGCCACCGGCCAUGCUCUGCUCAAGGAGGAGGGGCAGGAGGGGUCUGCUGCUAGGGCAACCAAGAUAUCUUGCCGAGCUCAAGCACAACCACGACGACCAACUGCGGCAGGUGUGCCAUAUUGGGCAGAGGAAGAGGAUGAGAAGAAAGAAGGCUUGGGCGUGAGUGGGUGCUGGGUGCUGGGUGGCGGCGGCCUUCCGCUACCUGCACCAUGGCACCUCACUCUACCGUGGUGGCAACGGAAUGCUCAUCACCUUGUAGGGAAUAUCUGAACCAAGUGACUACAAAGGGUUGUUUGGCAAUGUGUAGGUCAAUCUCACCCUUGUGGACAAGUAAUAUUUUUUCUCCAGAUUUAGUCUACAUUGUCCAGGUUGUAUGCUUCAAUUGAGAUCAUUAAUGAUUGAGAUCCCAUCAAGGAUGAUCUGAGUCACUCAGAAGAAGUGGAGAGUAGAAGGAGGGCACAAGAAGCUUCAUUUAUCAUUGAUGUUAUGUGUGAUAACUUAAAACUUGUGCUUCUCAUCCAAUAUUUGUAGAACUAUGUUGCUGUGCGCUUGUGCACUUGUUGGAUCCUUUUGUUGUGCACUUGCACAUAUAUAACUAUUUUUCUGUGCACUUUUAGAAUCAUUUUGCGGUGCACUUGUUGGGCCUUGAACCUAGGUGUAUCGAGGAGUCAUUGGAUGAUGCAUUGUAUUUCAUGUGAUGUGUUACUGAAAUGAAAUAUACAGUUUAUCUGCAAUA
Molecule: long non-coding RNA, 1068 nt
Organism: Triticum urartu
Lineage: Eukaryota; Viridiplantae; Streptophyta; Magnoliopsida; Poales; Poaceae
Source: RefSeq, a predicted model, not a curated record